Molecule: ribosomal RNA, 439 nt
Filed under: uncultured bacterium
Lineage: Bacteria
Description: partial 16S ribosomal RNA
Rfam family: Bacterial small subunit ribosomal RNA
Source: RNAcentral
CCUACGGGGGGCAGCAGUGGGGAAUAUUGCACAAUGGGGAAACCCCGAUGCAGCGACGCCGCGUGAGUGAAGAAGUAAUUCGUUAUGUAAAGCUCUAUCAGCAGGGGAGAAAAUGACGGUACCUGAGUAAGAAGCCCCGGCUAACUACGUGCCAGCAGCCGCGGUAAUACGUAGGGGGCAAGCGUUAUCCGGAUUUACUGGGGGUAAAGGGAGCGUAGACGGGGUGCCAAGUGUGAUGGGAAAGGCCGGGGCUCAACCCCGGGACGGCAUUGGAAACUGGCAUGCUGGAGUGCCGGAGGGGCAAGCGGAAUUCCUAGUGUAGCGGUGAAAUGCGUAGAUAUUAGGAGGAACACCGGUGGCGAAGGCGGCUUGCUGGACGGUAACUGACGUUGAGGCUCGAAAGCGUGGGGAGCAAACAGGAUUAGAUACCCCUGUAGUC